Molecule: ribosomal RNA, 252 nt
Filed under: uncultured bacterium
Lineage: Bacteria
Description: partial 16S ribosomal RNA
Rfam family: Bacterial small subunit ribosomal RNA
Source: RNAcentral
UACGUAGGGGCUAGCGUUGUCCGGAAUCAUUGGGCGUAAAGAGCGUGUAGGCGGCCCGGUAAGUCCGCUGUAAAAGUCAAAGGCUCAACCUUUGAAUGUCAGUGGAUACUGCCGGGCUAGAGUCCGGAAGAGGCGAGUGGAACUCCUGGUGUAGCGGUGGAAUGCGCAGAUAUCAGGAGGAACACCAAUUGCGAAGGCAGCUCGCUGGGACGUCACUGACGCUGAGACGCGAAAGCGUGGGGAGCAAACAGG